CUGGGCACAAGAGGUCUUCAGCGGUCAGAUUUGAGAUCAGUGUAUCAGUUGUCUCUGAGCGCUCUCACUGAGCCUUUUAUACGUUUCAUGCAUCACGAUAUCAGCAGGUUCUUUACAUUCUGCGUCCCGCCAUGUCAAAAUGAAACCCAGGAACAGGAGCGUGACGGAACCAGCACAAUAAAGACCAACCAGACAAGGGCAAAAAAACAAAGGCACAUGGAAGGUACUGGUCCCCAAAAGGUCAACCUUCGUCUACACAGGAAAAAAGAU
Long non-coding RNA from Bombina bombina (fire-bellied toad), 270 nucleotides. RefSeq lists it as uncharacterized. NCBI's taxonomy places the organism in Eukaryota, Metazoa, Chordata, Amphibia, Anura, Bombinatoridae. The record is from RefSeq and is a predicted model, not a curated record. The transcript is spliced from 3 exons.